GGAGGGGUCCCCUAGCCUGGCCAAUGGGGUGGGACUUAGGAUCCCAUGGCGUAAGCCUUCCCGGGUUCAAAUCCCGGCCCCUCCA
RNAcentral lists this transfer RNA (85 nucleotides) under Nautiliaceae bacterium. RNAcentral's name for it is "tRNA-Leu". It matches the Rfam family "tRNA". Rfam says of the family: Transfer RNA (tRNA) molecules are approximately 80 nucleotides in length. The record is from RNAcentral. Lineage: Bacteria; Pseudomonadati; Campylobacterota; Epsilonproteobacteria; Nautiliales; Nautiliaceae.